RNAcentral lists this non-coding RNA (22 nucleotides) under Arabidopsis thaliana (thale cress). Lineage: Eukaryota; Viridiplantae; Streptophyta; Magnoliopsida; Brassicales; Brassicaceae. The record is from RNAcentral.
UCUCGGGUCAACGGGGCAUGAG